UCCUGCCAAGGGCCGACUGAAUAUUCUGCAGUGUGCGCGCAGGCUAAAGGUUAUAAAAAAAGGACACAGAGUUUUCUCAACAUGAGUCACUGCGAACAUAACCAGCGAGUGGCUGAUAACUAACUGACGUAGCCGAUCUUUCAAUAUUUAAACAAGAUUCAAUACGAGCUGUUUCUCAUUCGCCGAUUAAGCGCAGAGCUGUGAACAUACCGUUAUAAAAUAUGGCUAACUUAGUACUGGUUGUCCUCACUUCUCAGUUAAUUUGCGCAGUAUUUUCUCUGCCUCCGAGUGCGCGAGAUUCAACUGUUUCAGUGAGUCCUGUGGUUGAUUUGGGACGUGGAAGUGUAAAGACAUUGUUAUUGAAGUUUUUUGAAGCUGAUGUUAAAGUGGGUGAAAGGGAAGGUUUCAGAAGUAGAAGAUCUGUGAUUACGGAGAAUAGCUGUCCAUCUGGAACGAUUUGGUACGCGAAUCAAUGCAUGACACGUGAAAAAUAUAAUCAGACGACUGGUGAUGAAGAAUGAAUUAAAAAAAUUCUUCUCUUGUAAAGAAAUGGGAUGGCCUCCUCAUUCUCUCAUCAUUUCCUCAUCAGGAUAUCAAAGGCUCGUCUGCAUACAAGUGUGACUCAAAGGUCUUUGACCUUUUGACAUGUGACUCAGUGCUGUGACUUAUUUUAUACCUUUUUAUGUAAAAAACAUAAGUUGUAAGUAUUUAUUGAAUAGUUUAAAAAAAGGUAGGCGUAUUUAUUUGUUGAAUUUAUUGUUUCUGACGUGUUCUAGUCAUUAAGGAAAUCUGCAUUUUAUACCAAGAUUUGUCUUAAAAACUUGUCUAUAAAGACAUGAAUAUAUUAUUACAGGAAGACUUUAAAAUAAGUUAUUUUUUUUU
Helicoverpa zea (corn earworm) is the source of this 882-nucleotide long non-coding RNA. RefSeq lists it as uncharacterized. The transcript is spliced from 2 exons. The record is from RefSeq and is a predicted model, not a curated record. NCBI's taxonomy places the organism in Eukaryota, Metazoa, Arthropoda, Insecta, Lepidoptera, Noctuidae.